UACGUAUGGGGCAAGCGUUAUCCGGAUUUACUGGGUGUAAAGGGAGCGCAGGCGGCCUGGCAAGCCUGAUGUGAAAUACCGGGGCCCAACCCCGGGGCUGCAUUGGGAACUGCCAGGCUGGAGUGCCGGAGAGGCAGGCGGAAUUCCUAGUGUAGCGGUGAAAUGCGUAGAUAUUAGGAGGAACACCAGUGGCGAAGGCGGCCUGCUGGACGGUGACUGACGCUGAGGCUCGAAGGCGUGGGGAGCAAACAGG
This 253-nucleotide ribosomal RNA is filed under the name uncultured bacterium. RNAcentral's name for it is "partial 16S ribosomal RNA". It matches the Rfam family "Bacterial small subunit ribosomal RNA", at positions 524 to 776 of the family's 1533-position model. The record is from RNAcentral.